RNAcentral lists this ribosomal RNA (439 nucleotides) under uncultured bacterium. RNAcentral describes it as "partial 16S ribosomal RNA". It matches the Rfam family "Bacterial small subunit ribosomal RNA", at positions 339 to 795 of the family's 1533-position model. The record is from RNAcentral.
CUACGGGCCGCUGCAGUGAGGAAUCUUGGACAAUGGGCGAAAGCCUGAUCCAGCAAUACCACGUGAGUGAUGAAGGCCUUCGGGUUGUAAAGCUCUUUUAGUAGGGAAGAUAAUGACGGUACCUACAGAAAAAGCACCGGCUAAUUCCGUGCCAGCAGCCGCGGUAAUACGGAAGGUGCUAGCGUUGUUCGGAUUUAUUGGGCGUAAAGCGUACGUAGGCGGUUUAGUGUGUUAGAUGUGAAAGCCCAGAGCUUAACUUUGGAAUUGCAUUUAAAACUGCUAGACUUGAACAUAACAUGGGAUGGUGGAAUUUCUAGUGUAGGGGUGAAAUCCGUAGAUAUUAGAAGGAACACCAGUAGUGCAGACGACCAUCUUGGUUAUUGUUGACGCUGAGGUACGAAAGCGUGGGUAGCAAACAGGAUUAGAUACCCUCGUAGUC